UAAGGACGCUCUCACUCGCCUGCCUGCACACUUACCUGCUCGACACCUUUGCUUCUACGCUUAAAAACGAUCAGUGAGGAACUCUGUGCCCUGGCUGCUGCCCCCUCUGCGUAUUGUUAGCCCACUGUCCUACCGACUGACCUGACAGUCACUUGGCUCCGUAAUACAUCAAUUUGUCCAGCCGCGUCAUUAUAACAGUCCAGGCCGGCCGUCACCUCGCCUUCGCCCGCUUCAAAACAACCAAUGUCCUGUGAAUUAGACGCCCUCCAAUGCACCGAAGGAGUACUGAAGCGACAGUAACUUCAUAAAGGAAUAGAUGGCGCCACGAGCAGAUGGCACCACUAUAAACACUUGACUGCGCCACAAGUCUUAGACCGACCACCAGGCCC
Molecule: long non-coding RNA, 389 nt
Organism: Eriocheir sinensis (Chinese mitten crab)
Lineage: Eukaryota; Metazoa; Arthropoda; Malacostraca; Decapoda; Varunidae
Exons: 4
Source: RefSeq, a predicted model, not a curated record